RNAcentral lists this small nuclear RNA (107 nucleotides) under Camelus ferus (Wild Bactrian camel). The record is from RNAcentral. Lineage: Eukaryota; Metazoa; Chordata; Mammalia; Artiodactyla; Camelidae.
GUGCUUACUUCAGCAGUGCGUGCACUAAAAUAGAAAUGACACAGAGAAGAUUAGCAUGGCCCCUGAGCAAGGAUGACAGGCAGAUUCGUGAAGCGUUCCAUAUUUUU